CACGUAGGGGCCAAGCGUUGUCCGGAUUUAUUGGGCGUAAAGAGCUCGUAGGCGGUUCGGUAAGUCGGGUGUGAAAACUCUGGGCUCAACCCAGAGCCGCCACCCGAUACUGCUGUGACUUGAGUGCGGUAGGGGAGCGGGGAAUUCCUGGUGUAGCGGUGAAAUGCGUAGAUAUCAGGAGGAACACCGGUGGCGAAGGCGCACACCUGGCCCGAUACUGACGCUGAGGCGCGAAAGCUAGGGGAGCAAACGGG
RNAcentral lists this ribosomal RNA (254 nucleotides) under uncultured bacterium. RNAcentral describes it as "partial 16S ribosomal RNA". It matches the Rfam family "Bacterial small subunit ribosomal RNA", at positions 524 to 776 of the family's 1533-position model. The record is from RNAcentral.